Molecule: long non-coding RNA, 479 nt
Filed under: Ananas comosus (pineapple)
Lineage: Eukaryota; Viridiplantae; Streptophyta; Magnoliopsida; Poales; Bromeliaceae
Description: long non-coding RNA (ACOM_LNC025523)
Source: RNAcentral
GGUAGCAUACUAUAUUUAUUUUUUUUUGAAAAAAAAUCAAGAAAAAGAUUGAAAAUAGUAUACGGUGCUACAGUUAAAUUCUAUAGACGAAAAAGGCUAAAAUACGGAAAAAUUCUUAUGUAAAUACAGCUCGUUUUUGUAACCUUUUUUUCCAACCAUCAAAAAUCUAUAUUUUGCCUUAUUAAAAUUUUAGAAAUAAUUUUCAGGAUGUAUGGUGUUAAUGGAUAAGAUGAAAUAACUAAAUUACCUAUAUUUGUUCCAUAAAAAAAAUAAUUUUAAUAUAUUUUGUUAUUUUUAAGCAUAUUUUCGAUAUAUACUAUACGAAAUGGGCGGUAUAGUGAUAGAACCCUGGGGGGAGGGGAGGUAAAUGCAUCAAUUUAAAAUUCUGAGAGAGCAAAAUAUAAAUUUUUAAAAGUUAGAAAAAAAUAUUUACAGAAAAUUUUUUUAUAUUUUAGCUAUAAAUAUUAAGACAAGGCUAG